This 769-nucleotide long non-coding RNA is filed under the name Mus pahari (shrew mouse). RNAcentral's name for it is "lncRNA (MGP_PahariEiJ_G0005874.1)". Lineage: Eukaryota; Metazoa; Chordata; Mammalia; Rodentia; Muridae. The record is from RNAcentral.
GUCAGGGUUUGGGGGCCAGGCCUGCCCUCUGGUGCUUUCGGCUCCUCGGGCCCCCGACUUUAAAGUGCUCAAGUUGGGGUCGGCGCCAUCAUGACGCCUGAGACUGUGAGAAGAAAAUGUUAGUUACAAUUGAUAGAAGAACUAACUCACUCAAGAGCCUGAAGAAAGGAACAGAGCUUCUAGUAUGAGAUGCUGAGACCGUCUCACUGUGAAGGGAUAGGCCAGCAUGAGCCGGAAUCAACUGUCUCAUCGGAAUAUGUAUUUUAGCAACUGACUCCUCUAUGAAAGCAACAGUAAAUUAACGGAGUUCAUAGUCCAACAGCUCAAGAUUCUAUCAGUAAUUAGUUGUUGUGAUAUAUUCAUUGACUUGACUGUCCUGAAGCUCGAUUCUGAGUGUGUUCUUCAGGUUGCUUGAGGAAAGGCUAAGAUCUGAGUCAGUGGGCAUUAUGGCUGAUGCUCGGAUAUCAUCUGUAACCCUAUUCCCUUGACAAUGAAUCACACCAAAUUCAAUUAAAAUCUGGCCCAAAUAAGAAGGAGCCUGAAAGUUACCCUCUACAUGAAAAACAAAUCAGGAACUCAGUAGGGAAAGACGCUUGCCUCCUAACCUGACCACCAGGGUUCUAUCCCCUAGGCCAGCAUGGUUGAUGAAAAGACAAACUCCCAUAAGGUCUCCUCUGGCUUCCACACUGUCCUUGGGGUCUGCAUCUGGCCAUACAUACACACGUUACCAAAUUCAAUCUUUCAUUAAUAAAGUUCAUCAAUAAAAGAA